Molecule: ribosomal RNA, 397 nt
Filed under: uncultured prokaryote
Description: partial 16S ribosomal RNA
Source: RNAcentral
CCCUACGGGGUGCAGCAGGGCAAGAACGUGCUGUUGAUGAUGGAUUCGGUCACCCGCUUUGCCAUGGCCAUGCGCGAGAUCGGACUUUCCAUCGGCGAGCCCCCCACCACCAAGGGCUAUACCCCAAGCGUGUUCGCCACCCUUCCCAAGCUGCUCGAACGGGCCGGCAACUUCCAGGACCAAGGCUCGAUCACCGGCCUGUACACCGUGCUGGUCGACGGCGACGACCUGACCGAACCGGUGGCGGACUCGGUGGGCUCGAUCCUGGACGGCCACAUGGGGCUCACCCGCGGCAUUGCCGCCAAGAACCAGUACCCGGCCAUUGACGUGAUGAUGUCCACCAGCCGCGUCAUGCGCGACAUCACCACCGAACGGCAUCGCGAAUUGGCGGGGGGGC